UGCUUUUGAAGAAGGGCUUUUGGAAGAACAAGAUACAGGACUGACAAGAGUAAAACGAGGCUGCCGCAGAAUAUGUAUACUUCAAUGUCUUGUUAGUAAGAAAGGCGUAGCAAUUUGCAAAAGAACUUGUGUUUGCCGAUAAUUAAUUUUCAAUAGUGUAUUAUUUAUUUGUUGUUAUGUUGCUUUAAUAGUUUUUAAUUAUAUUAUCUAAAUGAA
Molecule: long non-coding RNA, 216 nt
Organism: Anoplophora glabripennis (Asian longhorned beetle)
Lineage: Eukaryota; Metazoa; Arthropoda; Insecta; Coleoptera; Cerambycidae
Exons: 2
Source: RefSeq, a predicted model, not a curated record